Molecule: ribosomal RNA, 1131 nt
Filed under: Triticum aestivum (bread wheat)
Lineage: Eukaryota; Viridiplantae; Streptophyta; Magnoliopsida; Poales; Poaceae
Description: partial small subunit ribosomal RNA
Source: RNAcentral
AUGGCCACCGCCGCCGCGUCCCAGGUGGCCUUCUCCGCGCCCGUCGGCGGCUCGGACCGCGCCGUCAGGAGCUCCGGAAUCCAGGGCAUCAACAGUCUCAGCUUCAGCAACAAAUCAUGGAUCGGCACCGCAUUGGCGUGCGACAGCAAGGCCGCGGCACAGUCGAGGCAUCUCUGCAGGGCGGUCCAGCAGUCGAGCAAGAGCAAGGUCUCCGUCGCGCCCCUCGACCUGGAGAGCGCCAAGGAGCCGCCGCUCAACACCUACAAGCCCAAGGGGCCUUACACGGCCACCAUUGUCUCGGUUGAGCGGGCGGUAGGCCCUAACGCCCCAGGAGAGACGUGCCACGUCGUCAUCGACCAUGGUGGCAAUGUGCCGUACUGGGAGGGGCAGAGCUAUGGGAUUAUUCCUCCGGGAGAGAACCCAAAGAAGCCUGGAAACCCACAGAAUGUCAGGCUGUAUUCCAUUGCAUCUACUCGGUAUGGGGAUUCAUUUGACGGGAAGACUGCCAGUUUAUGUGUUCGCCGUGCAGUUUAUUAUGAUCCUGAAACUGGCAAGGAGGACCCCUCGAAGAAUGGUGUCUGCAGUAAUUUCCUAUGCAACUCAAAGCCUGGGGACAAGAUUCAGAUGACAGGGCCCUCUGGCAAAAUAAUGCUCCUACCUGAGAGUGAUCCAAAUGCAACCCAUAUCAUGAUUGCCACUGGCACUGGUGUUGCUCCCUACCGCGGGUACCUACGCCGCAUGUUCAUGGAAGAUGUCCCAAAUUUCAGAUUUGGUGGCCUGGCUUGGCUCUUCCUUGGUGUGGCUAAUUCGGACAGCCUUCUUUAUGACGAAGAAUUCACAAGCUACCUGAAGCAGUAUCCAGACAAUUUCAGGUUCGACAAAGCACUAAGUAGGGAGCAGAAGAACAAGAGUGGCGGCAAGAUGUACGUUCAGGACAAGAUUGAGGAGUACAGCGAUGAGAUUUUCAAGCUUUUGGAUGGCGGUGCACACAUCUACUUCUGUGGUUUGAAAGGAAUGAUGCCAGGGAUUCAGGAUACACUCAAGAAGGUGGCAGAGCAGAGAGGGGAGAGCUGGGAUCAGAAGCUAUCGCAGCUCAAGAAGAACAAGCAAUGGCACGUUGAGGUUUACUAG